GAUGAACGCUAGCUACAGGCUUAACACAUGCAAGUCGAGGGGCAGCAUGGGGGUUGCUUGCAAUCCCUGAUGGCGACCGGCGCACGGGUGAGUAACGCGUAUCCAACCUGCCCGCCACUCGGGUAUAGCCCAGUGAAAACUGGAUUAAUCCCUGAUGGUCUCCUUUGCGGACAUCUGACGAGGAGUAAAGAUUCAUCGGUGGUGGAUGGGGAUGCGUCCGAUUAGCUAUGUUGGCGGGGUAACGGCCCACCAAGGCAACGAUCGGUAGGGGUUCUGAGAGGAAGGUCCCCCACAUUGGAACUGAGACACGGUCCAAACUCC
RNAcentral lists this ribosomal RNA (321 nucleotides) under uncultured Prevotella sp. RNAcentral describes it as "bacterial SSU rRNA". It matches the Rfam family "Bacterial small subunit ribosomal RNA", at positions 28 to 339 of the family's 1533-position model. Lineage: Bacteria; Pseudomonadati; Bacteroidota; Bacteroidia; Bacteroidales; Prevotellaceae. The record is from RNAcentral.